GAUGAACGCUGGCGGCGUGCUUAACACAUGCAAGUCGAACGGAAAGGCCACAGCUUGCUGUGGUACUCGAGUGGCGAACGGGUGAGUAACACGUGGGUGAUCUGCCCUGUACUUCGGGAUAAGCUUGGGAAACUGGGUCUAAUACCGGAUAGGAAUCACAUGUGGGUGUGUGGUUGGAAAGCUUUUGCGGUAUGGGAUGAGCUCGCGGCCUAUCAGCUUGUUGGUGGGGUAAUGGCCUACCAAGGCGUCGACGGGUAGCCGGCCUGAGAGGGUGUACGGCCACAUUGGGCCUGAGAUACGGCCCAGACUCCUACGGGAGGCAGCAGUGGGGAAUAUUGCACAAUGGGCGCAAGCCUGAUGCAGCGACGCCGCGUGGGGGAUGACGGCCUUCGGGUUGUAAACUCCUUUCGUCAGGGACGAAGCGAAAGUGACGGUACCUGGAUAAGAAGCACCGGCUAACUACGUG
This 466-nucleotide ribosomal RNA is filed under the name uncultured bacterium. RNAcentral describes it as "partial 16S ribosomal RNA". It matches the Rfam family "Bacterial small subunit ribosomal RNA", at positions 28 to 507 of the family's 1533-position model. The record is from RNAcentral.